This 478-nucleotide ribosomal RNA is filed under the name uncultured Pelotomaculum sp. RNAcentral's name for it is "bacterial SSU rRNA". It matches the Rfam family "Bacterial small subunit ribosomal RNA", at positions 900 to 1382 of the family's 1533-position model. Lineage: Bacteria; Bacillati; Bacillota; Clostridia; Eubacteriales; Desulfotomaculaceae. The record is from RNAcentral.
CUUAAAGGAAUUGACGGGGCCGCACAAGCGGUGAAGCAUGUGGUUAAUUCGACGCAACGCGAAGAACUUACCAGGCUUGACAUCCCCUGACCGCGUAUGAAAGUACGUUUUCACCCUCGGGUGACAGGGAGACAGGUGGUGCAUGGUUGUCGUCAGCUCGUGUCGUGAGAUGUUGGGUUAAGUCCCGCAACGAGCGCAACCCCUACGUUUAGUUGCUAACGCGUGAAGGCGAGCACUCUAGACGAACUGCCGUUGACAAAACGGAGGAGGUGGGAUGACGUCAAAUCAUCAUGCCCCUUAUGUUCUGGGCUACACACGUGCUACAAUGGCCGGUACAGACGGACGCAAAGCCGCGAGGUGGAGCAAAUCCUAAAAAGCCGGUCUCAGUUCGGAUUGCAGGCUGCAAUUCGCCUGCAUGAAGUCGGAAUCGCUAGUAAUCGCAGGUCAGCAUACUGCGGUGAAUACGUUCCCGGGCCUU